This 657-nucleotide unclassified non-coding RNA is filed under the name Hevea brasiliensis (rubber tree). Lineage: Eukaryota; Viridiplantae; Streptophyta; Magnoliopsida; Malpighiales; Euphorbiaceae. The record is from RNAcentral.
AGAAGAAGAAGAAGAAGAAGAAGUGGCCAUAUGAAAUUGAAACCUAUAUUAUUGAAACUAGUGUUUGAAAAUUACCAACUUGAAUUCAGCCUUCAUUCCAUUUUAGUUGAAAUUAUCGUAUAGGUCUUUUCCAUCCAUUCUAUUUUGUUGAGGGUUACAUUUCCAGUAGGAUCUAGGGAUGUUAAAUCCUUCUUGACCACUAAUUACAUUCAUCUAGUAUCAUCCUUUGACUAUCUCUCAUUUUAUCCACAUGGAGUUCUUAACUCAUUUAACUUUGUUGCUUGUUCUUACAUACUGAUGCAUCCUCCAGUCUACUAUGACCAUGACCAAACCAUCUUAAACAAAUCUUUCUCAAUUUAUCCUAGAUGGCUAUCAGUUCCAUCUUCCUACUAAUGCACUCAUUUUUCAUAUGGUCCUCUCUUGCAUAUCCACACAUCCAUCUUAACAUCAUAUCUGCCAUGCUCAUUUUGCGGACAUUAGUAUAUGACAUAGCAGAUCAAAUUGCAGUCAAUAGAACUCCCCCUUCUAGUGUUAUCACAGCUGCAGGAAAUCAGGAAUUACUACCUCAGUCAGUUAAAACAGGCCAUAUUUUAUUUCUCUUCUGGAAGUAGCAACGGCAUGUUUGGGACCUCUUUGUAAUAGGACUAGAAAAGAAUU